Molecule: ribosomal RNA, 386 nt
Filed under: uncultured Methanosaeta sp.
Lineage: Archaea; Methanobacteriati; Methanobacteriota; Methanomicrobia; Methanotrichales; Methanotrichaceae
Description: bacterial SSU rRNA
Rfam family: Archaeal small subunit ribosomal RNA
Source: RNAcentral
AGGCUGAAGACUUUGCCGGAUUAGCUGAGAGGUGGUGCAUGGCCGUCGUCAGUUCGUACUGUGAAGCAUCCUGUUAAGUCAGGCAACGAGCCGAGACCCCAGCCCACAGUUGCCAGCGGUACUCUCCGGAGUGACGGGGUACACUGUGGGGACCGCCGCUGCUAAAGCGGAGGAAGGAAUGGGCAACGGUAGGUCAGUAUGCCCCGAAUAUCCCGGGCUACACGCGAGCUACAAUGGUUGGUACAAUGGGUAUCUACCCCGAAAGGGGACGGGAAUCUCCUAAAACCAAUCUUAGUUCGGAUUGAGGGCUGCAACUCGCCCUCAUGAAGCUGGAAUCCGUAGUAAUCGCGUUUCAACAGAACGCGGUGAAUACGUCCCUGCUCCUU